Molecule: small nuclear RNA, 129 nt
Organism: Salvelinus namaycush (lake trout)
Lineage: Eukaryota; Metazoa; Chordata; Actinopteri; Salmoniformes; Salmonidae
Source: RefSeq, a predicted model, not a curated record
GAGUUGUAUGACAGGAGAGAAGGUUAGUACUCCCCUUGACAAGGAUGGAAAAGGCCCUAGUCUACUGGCCUUCAACACACAUAUGGUUAAGGCACUUUGUGGCAUUUUGAACGUGGUCCAUUCUGGCUU